Molecule: non-coding RNA, 2086 nt
Organism: Ciona intestinalis (vase tunicate)
Lineage: Eukaryota; Metazoa; Chordata; Ascidiacea; Phlebobranchia; Cionidae
Source: RefSeq, a predicted model, not a curated record
GUCUAAUUUCUAUAUGCAUCCUGUUCAGUGGAAAUAAAACUACAAAAAGACCAUAAAACAAAGUACAAGGUAUUUGCAAAGGUAUGUUUCUUUGUAUAUAAAUACAUUUAAUAAUGGUUCCUCCUAUGAAUUUGGUUCUUAAUACAAGUCCUGUUGUGUUACAUUUUAUUAAUCAAUAUUGAUCCUUUAUUCUUUGUUUUAUUGGUGCAAUUUUGUUUCUGCUUUUUGAUUUAAAUUUACUGCUUUUGAUUUUAUGUAGGAUUCCAGCCAGAAAAAAUGGCUGAGAUGUGGCUUUGCUUUUCGUGCUGUAUGACAAGCAGUGGAACGUCAAAUAAGCGAAAACCAAGAAGAAGAAAGUUAGAUCCAAGUAUGAUUGGAGCUCCAGCAAACUUCCAACAUCUAAAUCAUAUUGGAUCUGGUGAAUCAGGAGGGGCAGAGAUGCAAGACAACAUGCAAAGCAAAGGAGGAUAUGAGUUUCGAACAGAAGUAACCGUCGAAAGAAAGUUAGCAGAAGUUAAAAGAGAUGCAUCCUAGUGAUUGAGGUGUCUUUCUUUACCUAUGCUUCCAUAAUCAGAUUUGUAUGCCAUGUAACUCUGGUCGAAAAACUGUCAUUGAACAGUGCAAUAUCCACCUAUCUUGAUUGAGCUGUACACCUUGUAUGUGCUUUAACUAUAUUUUACGACCUGCGUUAAUUGUUAUGAUUACUAUUUUAUUGUUUCUUACCGCCUUUGUGUCCUUAUUAAGUCCUCCCCAUGUAAAAGAAGCAUUGCUUUUGUUCCCUCGGUUUUUCAAGUGUUAAUAAGAUUAUUUUAAACAGGUGCAGUCUUUGUCUGAUAAUUCGCUCUUAAAAAUGCACAUUUUUGAUUGUCAAGUUGAAAUUACGAGAUUUUGUUUUGUGGUAGUGUGUACUGAAUGCGCACAAAACAACUUGUAAGCUUUAGAUCAAAGAAUUUGUACUUGUAUUUGCUCUACUUAGUUUCUCGUUAAAAAAAUUUCACUUUUCACCAUGUCCAAGAUUUUAAAAAACUGCAGUUAAAGCUAGGGAAUUCAUAUGAUUUGCACGUUCUCCCGUUUUCAGUGACAAUUACAUCAUUGCAUAUUUACACAACCAAAGCAGUUUUUCUUUAAAAAAAUAUAUUUUAUUCCAGCCAAUUUCACACAAUUUUUAGGCUCGAUCACAUUUCUUUAUUUUGUUUCCCACAGUCAACCUCAAAAAUGAACAAUGAUUUGUGUCUGUUACUUUUUUUCAUGAAUUUUACCCCAGGCCGUGUCUAAACGCACAUAGAUUUUUAUUUGUGUUGUACUAUACAGCAAUACAAAUGACUUAACCUGUAUAAUUUAAUUACCAAGCUUGAAUUUUAUAAUCCUACCUAUUAGAGUACAACUUUCAAUUUUCAUUCUCUAAAUAUUAUCAAACGUCAUUUUUUACAGAGAAUAUGUAUUUUUAUUGUAUAUAUUUACUGUUUCUUCCAAUCAAAACACUGGAAUAUGUGCUUUCAAACAAAUUGUGCCUUAUUCAAGUAACUUGAUAGUGUUCCCGUGCUUUUAAUUGGAAAAUGGACAAUUGUAUUAUGCGUUUGACAAUGCACCAAUGUGAUCGGUUUUCAGUAUUGUUUCGUCACCAUAUCGCAAUCGAUUCAGUCAUUACGUUUCAUUGUGAACUGACUGCACCCGCAUUCAACACUUUCAAACUUAAAUAUCAUACAUUUGCAUACCCACAGAAUAGUAUUAAAGAAUCUAAGAAUGUUACUGAAAAAGCAGAACAAAUUGUUAUUGGCACUGUAACUUAUUAUAUAAAAUGUUAUUGUUUGAGAACAUCAAAUAACUAGACUAAUGUUAUCCAAUACUUUACAUUACUUUUGUAUUCUUCCCUAACACGUACUAAAUGUUAACCCUUACAAGCCAUUCCAAUAAUUUUAAACAAAUUUUUUAAACCCCUAAUAUUUCCACAUUAGAUGUAAACUUGUUGGAGGUUUUUCAAAGGUGUGUUAACACCAUGUAGUGUAUUUCACCGGCUUUUUAAUGUAAAUGCUUGAGACUCUAGUUACUCAGACUUUUUUUGCAAUAAACUUUUGUUGCACUGCGA